GUACAGGUUCCUCUAGGAACCACAAUAUUUAAAAUGGGAUAGAAAAU
Loxodonta africana (African savanna elephant) is the source of this 47-nucleotide non-coding RNA. Lineage: Eukaryota; Metazoa; Chordata; Mammalia; Proboscidea; Elephantidae. The record is from Rfam.